GCCAUCCACUCGUCGGCGCUGUCAUGGCGGGUGUGCUGAAGAAGACCACUGGCCUUGUGGGAUUGGCUGUCUGCAAUACUCCUCACGAGAGGCUAAGAAUAUUGUACACAAAGAUUCUUGAUGUUCUUGAGGAAAUCCCUAAAAAUGCAGCAUAUAGAAAGUAUACAGAACAGAUUACAAAUGAGAAGCUGGCUAUGGUUAAAGCGGUAAGUAGCUAAGUCAGUUUUGUUUUCUUGGAUUUGUGGUAUCCAGUGUAACAUUUAACCAAAAAAGUUUAGUUCCUUAUUUUUUAUAUAUUCAAUAUACUUUUCUUCUAGUCUUCUUCCUUGAGUGCUCUUUUCCCAUCAUUCCUCCCUUUUAUUCAACAAACUCUUGUUUAUUGAGUGUUUUCUAUAUGCAGGCCUCUGUUACAUACUGGAGUUUGAGACUAGGAUCAGAUCCUUCCUUGAAGUAACAUUGUAGCUGUUCCUUUUACCUCUGUUCCCUAUUUAGUCCUUUAUUGAUCUUUUGCUUUUUAUCUUGGAUAUAUCAAUCUCGAUCUCCUUUUUCUAAUCUUAGAGAACAAUAAAAGCAAAACAAAAAAGGGU
Molecule: small RNA, 587 nt
Filed under: Pongo abelii (Sumatran orangutan)
Lineage: Eukaryota; Metazoa; Chordata; Mammalia; Primates; Hominidae
Description: retained intron
Source: RNAcentral